Hippoglossus stenolepis (Pacific halibut) is the source of this 2535-nucleotide long non-coding RNA. RefSeq lists it as uncharacterized. The transcript is spliced from 2 exons. The record is from RefSeq and is a predicted model, not a curated record. NCBI's taxonomy places the organism in Eukaryota, Metazoa, Chordata, Actinopteri, Pleuronectiformes, Pleuronectidae.
CACACACACACACACACACACACACACACACACACACACACAGUAUAAUGGCCAGGAAAGACUGCAGGAGUCCUUUUAACUGGAUCAUGACCCAUCAUUUCACUGAGGAGAGAAAGAGGGUGAGAAAUGAAGGUAAACAGAGAGCGAGCGCUCCCCGGUGACUCACUGAGGUCCAGGAAGGAGGAGAAGAAAACAAAUUAGGGAGUGAAAGACUGAGGAUAAAGGGAGACCCCAUGUUGAUUAGCUGGGACCAGCAUGAAUACCAAUGAAUGAAGCAGGGAUUAGUAUUGCACACGUUAAAUCCUCCAGAAAAACUCCUCUUAUCUGAACCGCAGGAGGACGGCGUGACACGACAGAGCUCUGGACCUCCUGGUGACGUCGUCAGACACAGACGAGUCCCUCUGAAAGAAAGAGGAAAGAAAAAGAGGGAAGAAGGUGUUUUGUGUCGAUGAACUUUGUCCGUCAAAAAGUUUUCCACUGCGUCCUGUACCCUGACGAAUCACUGCGGAGGUAACUCAGCGGAGGGGAAGCAGGAAGGGAUCCCCUGUAUCGAUCAGCUCCGUCCAGCAUGAAUCCAAAUGGAAGAUUAGUGGUUUAGCUUGAGGCACGUGAAUCUCUCUGGAGCUUCGUCUCCUCUCAGCUGCAGCAGGCUCCACGCCAACAUGGCCGCAGAGGAAGAAGAGCAGGAAGGCUCCUGCUGGAAAAGGAGAUGCUGAGUUUAUCUCUGCUGCAGCCGAUCUCAUUGGGCGAGAGGCGGAGUUCCAUCUGGACAGGACGUCAGUUAGAAAUACCAGAAUGGAGGUCAGGUGGAGAAAGUCUGCAGAUAAUCCAGAGUGAUGACAUUUGCAUUCACACAUUCACCCUCCAGAGAAAAUACAGAGGAUCUCCAGAGUUCAGGUCUGAGAGCAGCUUAGAGUCUCCGGUUCACGUACGUGUUGACUGUGGGAGGAAGCUGGAGGAGACACAAGGAGAACAUGUGGACGCAGCAGGAGGACCUGAACCACGCUGCCCUCUGACUGGGACGGUCUCUAGCCACCGCACUGUGUCGCCUGCAGAGUCUAAAUGAAUAAUCCUGGUGUCUAACAGAGAUUUCCCUCAGAAAAGAUGUUACUGGGUUAAAGAAAGUGAAGUUUGAAGAUUUCAUAACAAACGUUUGCACUUUAUAUUUAGCUACCAAUGCAAUGCUAAUGAGAGAUACACAGGAAAUACAAUCCACAACCAGAUGAACACACACUGAAGCGGAUGUGUGAACAUGUGUAUUUUGAACAUAAUGAAAAUAAGUUUUUGCAGCAGAGUACACCUCAUGUGUUUCACGUGGUGAAACAUCUGAGGAGGCCUCGUCACAUUGUUGAGCACAUGGCAGUGUCCCGGGCCGCGGGCCAAGGUUCUGACAGCUUCCCUCAGACGUGGCUCAGAUUCCAGCCGCUCCCACAGCUGAUGAGCUCGGUGGUUUUGUGGUUUUGGUUUGUCUCUCUCUGUGUCACUUUGUGUUCACCUGAAGUCGGUAGCGUGUGUGCUCCUCUGACAUUCAUGUGACAUAAUGAACAUCAACGUGAACAUGAACAUAAUGUUUUAGAUGCUGCAGCAUCAGAGAUAAAAUCCUCCCUGGGAAAUUCCAAAUUAUGAAUGUUCCUAAAUUUAAAACCAACAUGGAUGAACUACAGCCGAUUUUAAUUCCCACUAUAUUCACAGUACAAGCUUCAGGCUAUGACUACGUGACAAAAUUAAGCGUUGUCUGCUUUGUGAAUUACAGGAAAGGGAAGUAAAUGUAUUUUUCAAAAUACAUUUUGUCAAUAAAUUUAGAUUGAAACAUAUUGUCCACUGAAAUGUUAAUUUUCUGUUGGACCACACUGUGGACCACACACUGUAAAUAAAGAUAGACGACAGCACAGCCAGAAAAGUGAUGCAGCAGUAUAUGUCAUAAACCCUCCUCCUCCAUGUUAGCAGAUGGGACAUGGACCAAACUAAAAAAUCAAAGUAGACGUUAAAUAAAUGUUUCUGUCUGACUCCUGAUUGGUCGAGCACAUGUAGUCGAUUGUCGUGACCUGGAUAUCACAGCUCCACGAUCACAACUGCACAGACUCUGGAGCAUCAGGAGGUAAUUGUCAUUGUCAGUGGAUCAUGAAUCAUUUCACGAUGGUCAAUUUGAAAUAAAUCUCAUGAAUUCAUGAAAACCAGCUGUAGUCUGAUAAAAUACUGAUUUGAAAUACUGUGGGUCUGUGAUCAUAAGAACUGGAGACAUGUUGUAAAACCAGGAGAACGAGGUCUUGGGUUCACAAUGACUUCUUGUCCAUUCUGUUAAAUGUGAGAUUAGAUUUUCAGUAACGUGCACACUCUCCGUCUCCUCUUCAGUGAGUGAAUCAGAUUCAACAGGUGCAGCCGAUUACAGAUCAUUCAUUCAUCUCAUCAUGUCAAGGAAAGUCAUUUCAUGACAAAGCCCAUUUGUCUUCCUCUUACUGACUUGAUAUGAGCCUUUUAAAUAUUGCAAAUAUAUGCUGAGAUUGACACUGAAAUAAAAUCCAGCGCCGUCUGAAA